This 253-nucleotide ribosomal RNA is filed under the name uncultured bacterium. RNAcentral describes it as "partial 16S ribosomal RNA". It matches the Rfam family "Bacterial small subunit ribosomal RNA", at positions 524 to 776 of the family's 1533-position model. The record is from RNAcentral.
UACGGAGGGAGCUAGCGUUGUUCGGAAUUACUGGGCGUAAAGCGCACGUAGGCGGCUUUGUAAGUUAGAGGUGAAAGCCUGGGGCUCAACUCCAGAACUGCCUUUAAAACUGCAUCGCUUGAAUCCAGGAGAGGUGAGUGGAAUUCCGAGUGUAGAGGUGAAAUUCGUAGAUAUUCGGAAGAGCACCAGUGGCGAAGGCGGCUCACUGGACUGGUAUUGACGCUGAGGUGCGAAAGCGUGGGGAGCAAACAGG